GUUCCUUUCACACUGUCAGCUCCUGGAAUUAAGGUGUCUUUUACCCUACAGCUCAGGAAAAUCUGACACUUUUCACAUCGGUGGGUUUGUGAUCUCCGCGUGACAUCCGCGAUAAGCACUGGAAAUUCAAAAUGAGGUGGCGUUGUAAUCUCCGCUGGACGCUGACGUCAACCAUUGGAGCACAAGGCACGAAUCUGCUGCACCACCAGCUUUGCGACCCAUCUGCUUUGCAACAACCCAUCUCUGAAAGUCGUGUUCUACCACGGAGGAAGACCACGUAGGGAUGCCUGAUUGGCUCGAUCGGAGCUAAGCAAAUCGCCAGCUGAAAGCCAGAGUCAUUUUUAGACGAGAGAUGUCCUGCUGGGCUGGUAAUGGAUCAGUCGAUAAAGAAGUAUUUUCGUUUUUGUUUUAUUUUAUUGGAUGUGUUGUUUACUGCCUUCUAACCUUAUUUUGUCUCGUUUGAUUUCUUUGCAUUUUCCCCUGAAUGAAGUAGUUGCUGCUCGUGAUGUGUGGCAUCUCCAAAGUCGACUGUUAGGUUUCGUGGUACUCGGUUGGAAUACCUUGAGACUGUUCAGGUGAUUCUCAGGGUAGAGAUUGAUUUCUAGGGCGCUGAAUUAACGCACCUAGGGUUUUGAGCGACGAGUUUAUGCACGCUCACAGUAAAGUUGGUAUUCCAGCAGAAAUCCGGAAGGCUCAUGGUGGCUGGCAUGUGACUUUGUGUUUACGAAGUUUGAGUGGUAGAUGUUGUCUGCUCAGCCUGAAUGGCAUGUGGGUCAUAAGGAAACUGGCCUGAUUUAAAAGCUGUGGUUCACUGCGGCUGUUUGUCGUUGGCCAUCGCAAAAGCAUGCUUUCAACGGUCAAGCACUCACUUACUAACAGUGUUCAACAUUUAUUUUGCAAGUUAGGGUAAUCCGUUCCGUAGUAUACAUCCUUUCGGUCUUUAACCCUGAGGGACAUUGGAUGUUCAACCAUACGAUCAUCAAAGAAAAAUGUGCAAUAGAAGGUCAUCGUUGUCGUUAAUCGUUUUGUUUCAUUUGUUCAAGUGAACCUUUAUGGAAAGCACCACAUAGCCCCCACCUGGCUGAAGUAAUGGCUUUGUGGGAAGAUCGAGAGGGUAACCAGGUGCAAUAUCAUCAUGGGGUCAUUGUCAAAACCUCGUCACUGUUUCGGGAGCACUGAAACUGUGGACUAAUGCCCUUUACAUACGUGUCAAAACAGUUUUAAUUAGUGCGCUCGUGAGCUUGUGUAUUUGUUCAUUAUCAGUGUCUUACGUACACGUUAUGCUCGACAUGCAUUGCAUUCCUGAAAGGUUUUACAGACAAACCGGCUAACUGGAUCCAUGUGACGCACACAAGCCAGCUUUACUUCAAGCCUACGAGGCUGUUCAUGAUCAUCAACACCAUGUCUAGAGCUGGUUUGUGGCGGACAUCGCCAAGCCGUGGGUUUGAAAGGUGGAGCUGAGAGGAGCUUUAAACUGGUUCGUUGUCUGAUCGAUGUCUACGUUUGUCAACCUCUGAUCAGACUGUUGAGUCUGUUGCGAAGUUGUUUGAAGAUUGUCAUGUUGCCUCUUACUACCUGGAACACUUUUUACCCACGUAUGUUCACCUUAGAAUUGGACUUUGAUUUUUUCACGAUUUGUGACGCGGGCAUGUACUGCAAUUGAAUUGAAAUCGACGAGAUCGACGUUGCCAUAUCUUCUCUUUUCUUAAAAUAAAUGAAAAAAUAAAUCAAACAGUAGAUUCCUAUGUUCGCACCCGUUUGCAGAGAGGUAUGUUUCAACGUUUUGACUUGAUUAAGUGUGUCUUAUCUCACUAACCUCUGCGAGCGGUUACCCUAGCAAUUUUCUAAGACGUUGACGUGAAGUGAUAACUAACCCUGAUUGACGUGAGCGUUUUUCUGGGUUUAUCUCUGGCAACGGCAUCCUAUUGCUCUGACGCUUGAGUUGUCGACAAAUAUGCAGCAUUGGUAUAUGAACUCAGGGAUCACUAUUAACCCCUAAACCUUGUCGUUGCGUGUUUCCGUCCAUGUACUGAAUGUGUUAACAAUCUUAGUGCUUGAUAAUAGUGGUUGACAACGUACAAGGGGGAAUCUCAUUUUGGAUCGUUUAGUCUAUCAUCUACAUCUAUUUGUGAUAAAACUACACAUAAUGCAAAUUUUGGUAUAUUUGUAUCUGUAAAAAUAACUUAAUAAUUUUUUGACAGCAUAGAUUAAAAGUAAAUUUGAAAAUAGUUUUAAACCUUUGAUACGUUGUUUUUAUAUCUUUACAAUGUUGUAAUUUGUUUUUGUAAGUGGAUUGUAUUAAUCAAACAAGAACUUAAGAUGGUUAUUUGACAAAUAUUUUAUUUUAGUUGGUAAAUGCUAAAAUCGAUUAUACAUCAUACAUAGAUUUUAGAAAUGUUCAAUCUAUAGUAAAUUGUACCUUUUCAAAAUCCAUUUUACUAACUGACAUUUGAAAUA
Physcomitrium patens is the source of this 2457-nucleotide non-coding RNA. The record is from RefSeq and is a predicted model, not a curated record. NCBI's taxonomy places the organism in Eukaryota, Viridiplantae, Streptophyta, Bryopsida, Funariales, Funariaceae.